Bos grunniens (domestic yak) is the source of this 4927-nucleotide long non-coding RNA. The record is from Ensembl. Lineage: Eukaryota; Metazoa; Chordata; Mammalia; Artiodactyla; Bovidae.
AUGUGUGCAGUCAGACCUUGGAUCUGUCUCUUACUCGCUUGCGGCCAUCUGUGCAAACAUCUUCCUAGCCAUUCCAUCCUUCUCUUGGAAUGGCAGCCCUGUGUUCUUGAGCGCUGCUUCUUCAUGGCUCCAGCCACAGGGCUUCAUCAGGAGCCUCAUUCAUCUUACAGGAUCAGGUCUCCUAUCCCAAGAAGGGACAGUCAAAGUCACCUGCCUCAUGGGCACAGCUGGCGUAGAGGCAGGCAUCUGAGCCAGGGCCAGCCCCAGCCUCUCUCCAUUCAUGGGGGCCACACAGAGUUUCAGAGAGUUUGAGAGCAUCUCCCAAGAGACGAACAUCUCCAGGAAGGAAGAUUAUGCCUGUCCUAUAUGGUCCAGUCACUGUCUGCAAACCCACUCAAUCACAGCCACCCUGGGGGCCAAGUAACUCUGGCUCAUGCUAAGAGGAAGAGCUUCAGUCAGAUUCAGGAGCAGAGUCUGAGGGGUCCCGAGUUACAGCCAAGAGUAAAUAAUAAACUUCAAAUCAGCAUGUUUUAUAGUUGCUUUUGUUGUUAUUCUGUCAACCACCAGAAAAAUCUUAGCUAAAAUCUGCACUGUGAUUUUUGUCAGUUUCUUCUUGAAUUCCAUUUCAUAUAUAUUUUUAAUUGGAGUAUAGUUCCCUUACAAUGUUGUGUUAGUUCCUGCUGUACAACAAUGUGAAUCAGCUAUACUUAUACAUAUAUCCCUUCCCUCUUGAGCCUCCUUCCCAUCCCACCCCUUCAAUUUCUUCCUGAAUUUCUAGUAGUAUCUGUUGUAUACAUUUUCAUGCCAUGUGUUUGCAUUCCUGGCCUCUUGCCAUCUUAAAGUUAAAAGAAGAUAACAAUUCCUGGGAUGUUAUGCAUCAUACAAAGGAAGUCCUGUCUCUCAUACCAAAGGGAUACAAGCAGAGUCAAGGUGCUUGCUUUCCCCCACCCAGUCUUACCAGCAUUGUGUCUGGCAACCCAAGUCAUUCUGGGAACACCAUACCCAGAAUCACAUGCUGUGGGACCCAAUCCCAUGGGUCUGUCUGUGUGUAUGUGUGUGUGUGUGUUUUAAUGCAAAUCUCAGCUUCCAAAGCAAGAUCCUCAUUUGGAAUUUAAAAGAGUUCUAGGUUGUUUAACGUUUGAGUGGAAUUCCUGAGCCUGUUAACUGGUCACAGUCUACUAGCUCUCAUAAUUAGCAAGAGACAUUGUAUUAUGCAAACACCACUCAGUUUUCAACAAUGACUAACUGCUCUGUUUCAGACUGUUUACUUAAGAGUGGGGUUUUCAUCCACAAUCGAUGUUUCUGGGUAGUUACUUAUUUAACACUGAGAGACAAGAGAGGAUGAACACCCAAAUCACUCAUUCCUCUACUACUUCUCAACACCCUCCUCAUCCCACCGCCAGCCCCAAAUCCCGGCACUGUGGGUGACUUGGCUCCAAGUCUUAUCUGGCUAGAAAUACAGAUCAUUGGAACAGGAUAGAAAGUCUAGGGGUAAACCCACGCACCUAAGGUCACCUAAUCUAUGACAAAGGGGUUCUUUGCCUGGUGGCUCAGACGGCAAAGAACCUAUAAUGCAGGAGACCUGGGUUUAAUCCUUGGGCCAGGAAGAUCCUCUGCAGGAGGGCAUGGAAACUCACUCUAGUAUUCUUACCUGGAGAAUCCUAUGGACAGAGGAGCCUGGUGGGCUACCAUCCAUGAGGUCGCAAAUAGUUGGACAUGACUGAAGCAACUUAGCAUAGCACACACACAGCACAAUCUAUGACAAAGGAGGCAAAUGCAUACAAUGGAGAAAAGACAGUCUCUUCAAUAAGUAAUGCUGGGAAAACUAGACUGCUACAUGUAAAAGAAUGGAAUUAGAACACUGCCUAACACCAUACACAAAAUUAAACUCAAAAUGGAUGAAAGACCUAAAUGUAAGGCCAGAUACUAUAAAACUCUUAGAAGAAAAUAUAGGCAGAACACUCUGACAAAAAUCAUAGCAAGAUCUUUUUGACCCACUGCCUAGAGUGAUGAAAAUAAAAACAUAAAUAAACAAAUGGGGCCUAAUUAAACGUAAAACCUUUUGCAGAGCAAAGAAAACCAUGUAGAAAACAAAACCACAACCCCUAUAAUGUAUAUGGUGACUGCAACCAUGAAAUUAAAAGACGCUUGCUCCUUGGAAGAAAAGUUACGACAAACCUAGAUGGCAUAUGAAAAAGCAGAGACAUCACUUUGGCGACAAAGGUCCAUCUAGUCAAAGCCAUGGUUUUUCCAGGAGUCACGUAUGAAUGUGAGAGGUGGACCGUAUGGAAGACUGAGUGCUGAAGAACUGAUGGUUUUGAACUGUGGUACUGGAGAAGAUUCUCCAGGGUCCCUUGGACAGCAAGGAGAUCAAACCAGUCAGUCUUAAAGGAAAUCAACUCUGAAUAUUCAUUUGAAGGAUUGUUGCUGAAGCUGAAGCUCCAUUACUUUGGCCACCUGAUGCGAAGAGCUAUCUCAUUGGAAAAGACCCUGAUGCUGGGAAAGACUGAGGGCAGGAGGAGAAGGGGAUGACAGAGGAUGGAAUGAUUGGAUGGCAUCACUGACUGAAUGGACAUGAGUUUGAGCAGGUUCUGGGAGACAGUGAAGGACAGGGAAGCCUGGCAUGCUACAUGCAGUCCAUGGGGUCUCAGAGAGCUGGAUACAACUUUGCAACUGAACAACAACAACAAAUUAUGGGAGAAAAUAUGUGCAAAUGAAGCAACUGAUAAGGGAUUAAUCUAAAUUUUACAAACAGUUCAUGCAGCUCAAUAGAAAACAAAACAAAACACCAAAUCUUAUCUAGCUAUUGAGCUGUGUGACCUUGGGAAAGUCAGUUCCCUGCCUUGAGUCUCAGUUCCCUCAUCUGCAAACUCUGGGGGCUGAAUUGGGUGAUGCCAAAAGGCCCUUCCACCUGGAAGGUGUGGGGAUUGGGGGAGAAGAUGAAAUGUCUCCUUCUCUGUUAAAACUCAAACAUGUUUAUUACUUACUAAAAACCACAGCACCACAGACUCCAAGCAGACUAUAGGAAACAAAGUGUCCCAGUGUCUUGUAGUCAUCCACAUUCUUUUAUUGCCAUGGACAAAUGCAAAAAGAAGGACUAAAGAUACUUGCAGAGUAACAUUUUAGAAAAAUGGGGAGAAGGCGACAGCACAGUUAAGGCUUCCCCAGUGGCUCAGACGGUAAAGAAUCCACCUGCAAUGUAGGUGUUCAAUUUCUGGGUCGGGAAGAUCCCCUGGAAAAGGGAAUAGCUACCCAUUCCUGAAUUCUUGCCUGGAGAAUUCAUGGAUAGAGGAGACUGUUGGGAUACAGUCCGUGAGGUUGCAAAGUGUCGGACAUGACUGAGCGACUAACACUUUCACUUUUCACUUUUCAACAGCACAGUUGAAUAUAUGUGUGUCUGCGAGUAAAACGGUCAUGUUCGCUACAAUUUUAGUUUUUUAAGGAGACUAUUAAAAAAUAUAUUUGGAGAUAAUACCAAAAUGAGCCACAUGGAGUGGCUGACAUAUGAAUGCCAAGGAGAGAAACUGGCUUACUUCUAAGGGGUGUGGAAAGUUGGAGAAGGGAAAGAGUUUGGUGGCAGUGAGGGUACAGUGAUGCUGGGGCCUAUGUGAAGAUACUCGUACAGAGCAGAGCCUAAAAAAGAAUCGCCUGGGUAGCAGAAGCAUUAAAAAUGGAUUUUUACCUUGCUUGAGAUGGAGUGACAAAUCUUCAGUCAAAUAUCCUUGUUGUUCUUGAUUAGUCGCUAGUCAUGUCUGACUCUUUGUGACCCCGUGGACUGUAGCCCCCCAGGCUCCUUUUUCUAUGGGAUUUUCCAGGCAAGAAUACUGGAGUGGGUUGUUAAUUCCUCCUUCAGGGGAUCUUCCUGACCCAGGGAUCAAACUUGUGUCUCCUGCAUUGGCAGGUGGAUUUUUUACCACUGAGCCAUCAAGGAGGCCCUGUGUAUUUGUUAAGUGCAUGGGGUUAUUUGAGUGUGCUGCCAUUUGGGAGGAUGUGGAAGAGAGGCUGAGCUCUCAUUUAACUGACGCUGGGAAAAUCAGGGGCAGCGACUUGAUACAAGGAUAAGGUGUACCCAAGCUGUUCUCUCUCUAUACCUCAUUAUCUGUCUAGGCCUGGUCCACCUUUUUUUUUAAUUACUUUUUAAUAUUUAUUAAUUUAUUUGGCUGCACCUGGUCUUAUAGUUGUGGUACAUGGGAUCUAGUUCCCUGACUGACCUCAGGUAACGUUGGCCUGCAGUGGUUUGAAGUAGAGCUUCAGUUCCCCACCAGAGAUUGAGAUGGGGUCUUGGAGAUAAGAGGACCUAGUCACUAGGUCAGUGGUCAGUGACAAGGCCCUUCAGCUUUGCAGAAAAGAGUUCCCACAGAGAUAGAAAGUUGUGAAACCAGUAUUUACUAGAGUACAGUUGGUGUGGAUAGACACACAGGCAGGCUCAGAGAGAGAGUCAUGCCCUGGUGGUAGUUUGAAUCACUUUUAGUGGGUAUUUCUUCCAGGUUUCCUCUGGUCAAUCAUUUAGAUUUGCCUGGUACUGACUCUGUAUUUGGUAUAUCUCAGGAUCCCUUCAGUGUGCGUGGCAUCUCUUAGCCAAGGCAGACUCUAGCGAAGAGGCCUAUGGGUAGGUUGACAACACUUACUAGGGUGGCUGCUGCUGCUGCUGCUAAGUCACUUCAGUCGUGUCUGACUCUGUGCGACCCCAUAGAGGGCAGCCUACAAGGCUCCCCCGUCCCUGGGAUUCUCCAGGCAAGAACACUGGAGUGGGUUGCCAUUUCCUUCUCCAAUGCAUGAAAGUGAAAAGUGAAAGUGAAGACGCUCAGUCAUGUCCGACUCUUAGCGACUCCAUGGACUGCAGCCUACCAGGCUCCUCCGCCCAUGGGAUUUUCCAGGCAAGAGUAGUGGAGUGGGUUGCCAUUGCCUUCUCUGACUAGGGUGGUGC